RNAcentral lists this transfer-messenger RNA (371 nucleotides) under Rhodococcus sp. (in: high G+C Gram-positive bacteria). It matches the Rfam family "transfer-messenger RNA". Rfam says of the family: Bacterial tmRNA, also known as 10Sa RNA or SsrA, is named for its dual tRNA and mRNA-like properties. Its role is to liberate the mRNA from a stalled ribosome. To accomplish this part of the tmRNA is used as a reading frame that ends in a translation stop signal. The record is from RNAcentral. Lineage: Bacteria; Bacillati; Actinomycetota; Actinomycetes; Mycobacteriales; Nocardiaceae.
GGGGAUGAUCGGUUUCGACGGUGAUUGAUUCACCAGGAGAAGCGGGCCGAGGAUGCGCAGUUAUCUCGUUAACGCUCUGUGCACAACCAAUAGGUGCCGACUCUAAGAGCACCGACUUCGCUCUCGCCGCCUAAGGCGUAGUAGCAGUCCGUCAGUCCAGGGAUGCUUUCGACCUGGAAUCUGGCGUCGAUUAGAAAGCCAAUGCUUCUGAUUCACGUCACGGGGAUCAGAGGGACUCUUUCGUGACUGAGCCUGUUCACCAUCCCGUCUGCGGGCAGGGUGAGGGCUGAGAAAACCAACAGCAGAAUGCGCCCGGAGAAGACCUGGUUUUCCGUCAUCGGACGCGGGUUCGAUUCCCGCCAUCUCCACAA